AGUGUCUCUUCAACUCUUGGAUUGCUUCCCACCGUCCAACAAUAUAAGAAGGAAGCUUGAGAAAAAGUUGACAUCACACACCACAAGGGUCAUCAGAGGGGAAAAGAUUGAAUAUGUACCUAUUCUUACCCGUGUGCCCCCUGCUGGAUCUUCACUUAUAGGUGCCUCUAAAGUGUCUCUUCCACUCUUGGAUUGCUUUCCACCACCCAAAAAUAUAACAAGAAAGCCUGAGCAAAAGUUGACAUCAAACACGAGGGUCACCAGAGGGGAAAAGAUUCAAUUUGAACCUUUUCUUACCCGUGUGCCCCCUGCUGGAUCUUCACUUAUAGGUGCCCCUAAAGUGUCUCUUCCACUUCUGGGAAAGUUCACGCCCUUCAGACCUUUGCAACCUCGUCCACCCAUGUCAAUGAAGAGGACUUUCAGUACUGAA
Paramisgurnus dabryanus is the source of this 430-nucleotide long non-coding RNA. RefSeq lists it as uncharacterized. Lineage: Eukaryota; Metazoa; Chordata; Actinopteri; Cypriniformes; Cobitidae. The record is from RefSeq and is a predicted model, not a curated record.